UACUGAAUUUUUUAUUACCCCUCGUUAACGACUUCACCCUCGUGUUUGCAUUUAUCUCGUGGAAUCCACGAGUAAAAAGAUAAUAAAUGUGAAUAUUCUUUGAAGGAUUUUUCAUUUGGAAUGGAUGGUUUUUUUUUUUUGGUGUAGACUAAUGCAGUUUUUUGCUGUGAUCAGGCAAAUUCAGUCAGCUCGGGAGAGAGUUGGAAUUUUUCUGGAAAGCACAAAGCAGUUGAUGAUUAAUUCAGGUUGCACUCGGGAAAAAUCUGGAGGGAGUGAUGUAAAAAAUUGAGGGGUAGAAUCGCCUGGGAGAUGGGGAGGGCACUGAGGCACUCUCUUUGACACAACGGUUGACGAGGUUAUGGUACCAUGAGAGGAGGGACCGAGGGAAAAAAAAUACUCAGCCAAAAAAAUUAUGUCUUCGUCGGGGGAAUGAAUAAGAUAAAUGAUUUUCCGGUGACCGAAUUCCUAAUUGGAUUUUUUUUUAACACAUAAAGCGGGAAAAUUGUGCGUUUAGUCGGGGAUAAGUGAAGAACUGAGGGAUGACGGAACAUACGAUGUUUUGCCACCCCCUAGUGACGUUGGGCCCGAAAUAAGGACCUGAGAGGAUGAAGGGAUAGAGCAUGAGGACAAGAGGGGCAUUGGGACCUUGACCUUCGGACUGGGCAGUCCUUCAAUCAUCUUCGAACCUCAUCCAUUAUUUUCCCGACACUUUUGUCACGUGAU
This is a long non-coding RNA of Diachasmimorpha longicaudata, 723 nucleotides long. RefSeq lists it as uncharacterized. NCBI's taxonomy places the organism in Eukaryota, Metazoa, Arthropoda, Insecta, Hymenoptera, Braconidae. The transcript has 3 exons. The record is from RefSeq and is a predicted model, not a curated record.